Long non-coding RNA from Lingula anatina, 612 nucleotides. RefSeq lists it as uncharacterized. The record is from RefSeq and is a predicted model, not a curated record. NCBI's taxonomy places the organism in Eukaryota, Metazoa, Brachiopoda, Lingulata, Lingulida, Lingulidae.
UUAAACCCACUCCCUGCGAUAAAGCGAGUCAGUUUAACAGUUUUGUUAGACAGAGGUCCAGCUAGGCGUAUCUUCUUCUACCUGUUCCAAGGGGUUUUACCAGCUAAGAAUCAGCCAUGCAAAGGUCUUCGCUAUUCGCCCUGGCAAUCCUUCUGCUGACGGUGUACCAGCUCAGCAUGUUGUGCACUGUGGCUGAGGCCUGUUCCAUGGACUCGCAGACCAACAAAUGCGUCGGCUCGUGUACCGGGGGUAAAGAAUGUCAGAUGGCCUCGGCUUCCUACUCCAACGGGCAGUGGACAUACAGAUGCGAGUGUAUUUAUGAUUAUUAUUAACGGUCCUGAAACUUGUCGCUGAACCCGGGACGUCCACGUCAGCAGCCUUAUGGCUGAACCCUUUAUAAUCCGAUAUAACCCUGUCACAUAUGAUGUACAUGUAAACUGUAUUAUUUACCCCUGAGUUUUCACAUAUACUUGGAGCAAAUAAACAGAACCAUAAUGUGAAAUUCUGUCUGACUGAGAGACAUCAGAAUGAUCCUGAACCCGGGGCUUUCAGUUCUCACGAGAGCUGCAAUCAGUGUAUGAAGCUUGACGUUAAUAAAUGGUACAAGCAUAA